GCUCACUUGGUGAAGUUGGUAAACACAUCAGAUUCAAAAUCUGAAGCUCCUUAACGAGCUGAUCGGUUCAAGUCCGAUAGUGAGUA
This 86-nucleotide transfer RNA is filed under the name Sphingobacteriaceae bacterium. RNAcentral's name for it is "tRNA-Leu". It matches the Rfam family "tRNA". From Rfam's summary of the family: Transfer RNA (tRNA) molecules are approximately 80 nucleotides in length. Their secondary structure includes four short double-helical elements and three loops (D, anti-codon, and T loops). Lineage: Bacteria; Pseudomonadati; Bacteroidota; Sphingobacteriia; Sphingobacteriales; Sphingobacteriaceae. The record is from RNAcentral.